RNA transcript from Columba livia (rock pigeon), 6287 nucleotides. It is a transcript of the gene named cytochrome c oxidase assembly factor 5, with no coding region annotated. The record is from RefSeq and is a predicted model, not a curated record. The transcript is spliced from 4 exons. NCBI's taxonomy places the organism in Eukaryota, Metazoa, Chordata, Aves, Columbiformes, Columbidae.
UUCCUCUCUCUGCCGGAAGCGGCGGCAGGGUCGGGAGUUGCCAAGAUGGCGGCGGCCGCAGGUAACGGUGUGUGGGUAGGCCGCGGCGAGGCGUAGAGUCGGCCUUGUCGCCAUGCCAAAGUACUACGAGGAGAAGGAGGAGGACGGGCGGGCCUGCGGCGGGGUGAGGGAGGAUCUGCGGCAGUGCCUGCUGGAGAGCGCCUGUGUCCUGCAGGAAAACAAAAGCCCUAAGCAAUGCUUGAGGGAAGGACACUGUAGGAGUUUGCAAGUGACAUUUUUUGCAUGCAAAAGAUCAAUGUUGGAUACCAGGGCAAGAUUCAGAGGAAGGAAGGGAUACUGAAGUCCUUGUGAAGACACCUGGCCAUGGGAAAUCAGGAUUCAUCAGCACUUUAAGCAAAACAGAGACUAAAGCAAGCUGAUUCUAUCUGCUGCAUCCUUUCUUGCAACAUUUUUGGGGAAGGUUACAAGAUAUGGAACUGGGAGUUCACUUGACUGCUAUCCCAGAGGAUACCUCAGGAUACAGCUGUUUCCAGAGGUGAUGAGUUGGACGCGAUUGUGAAAUGUAUGUACAAGCUGCUUCCUCCCCAGGGGGUCUGUUACCCAAUAAACCUGCACUAAUGGGUAGGAGUGGCAUGUUUUUGCAGUGCCACAUAUACAAGGAUGGAAUCUCUUUCUUCUUGCUCUAAGUUCUUUUUAAUAUGAUGGUUCACGUACAUGUUUUGGUGCAAUCUGGUUGUGUUGAACAACUAGAUUAAAAUUUGGUUACUCUAAGCUAAAAGACAUCUGAUUUUUCUUUCAGUCUUCUCAUUGUAUUGUCACAAGUACAAGAGAACUAUAGGAUUAUUGUAGUCAAUGGCUUGAAAGCCGUGUGCCAGGAUGUAGCUGAUUAUGUAUCUUUGGAUGAGGGAGGACAGGAUUCCUUAGGCCAACAGUUAAGGAGACCAUGGCUGCUGUUACUAUGUUCUAGAGGUAUUUACAACAGUAUUUAAGUUCCUCUGAGAUGACCCUGGAUGAUCUUUCAGUGUUAUUUUCCAAGCAAAUGCAUAAAUACUAGUCCCAACAUAUCAUCAUCCCUUAAUGGUACAUCUGGACUUCAUUGUGUUUAUAGGAAGUUGUGCUCCAUGAAUUUACUUUGUCCUUUAUGAGCAUUUUUCUUGUUUUUACUUUUUCACUUCUAAAUUCUUUUGUUCACAUUUUGUGGUUGUAAAAUAUUCAAACUGCCAUUCACGUUAAUUUAAAUUGUAACUACGGCCUGCCAUAUACUUCUUAAAGCUUGCUAUCCCUUUAGAAUUUUUUUUGUGCUUAAGUCAAAUUGUAUAUAGUUUCAUAAGUUAUAAAACAGCUGCAGUCAAAAAGCAUAUAAAUUACUGAAGGAAAAUACUGUUUUGCUUUCCUUUGAUCAAGAAUGACUGUGGUGGGAUUUAUGGGGGUAGCAAGCAUUAGUGUUUAAACCGUGACUGUGACCAGUACUUACUGGUUCUGUUGAAGAAGUUGUUUCUGAAGAUGAUUUCUUUUUCCUUCUCUCUACCUCCUUCUCCGCCUUUUGAAGUCGUUAAGAAAUAAAUGGUAGUGUAACCCUUACAUAUGGAAAUUCAAAUAACUUCAGAGAAGCUAAUUAGAAAUAAGAUUAGGAAAUAGUGAGAGAGGAGAGAAUCAUAGUAACUUAUUUUCUUGACUAAAACUUAUAGUCGUGUGGCUGAUUUACAUUAGUUUGAAGAUGGAUGUGACACUUAUUGUUUGUAAAAUCAAUUACUUCAGUGAAUAAUUGAAUAUCGAAUAUUUAAUUCUGUCUCAAGCAACUUCUCUGUGAUCAAAGUAUGUUUAUAUUCCUUGUAUGUAGUAUUUUAUUUUUGCAAUCAUUAGUCAAUUGCAUAUUUUCAUAUUCUGUUGAUCAUGUGAAAGCAGGUUAAUUUGUUGAAGUGCUCUAGGCAUCCUUUAUUUUCCACAAUCUAGUUACCGUAUCUCUUUACAUAUACUAAAAUGAUAAUUUGAUGUCAUGUCUGUAGGAGUGUUCAACAUAUUACCACAAGUCUUCUCCACGGCGGGGCGGGGGGAGAAAGUUUAAAAUGGAGAAAAAGUAAACUUAAAGCCACUUGGCAGGUAAUUAAAUGUCAGGUAGAGAGAAGAGUGGGAAUGGUAUGUAUUUUUGCCAGUCAAGGACCCUUCAGUGAUCUGCCCUUCUGCAGGGGACUGUAGGCUUGAUGAUUCAGGUGAUUUGCUCCUGUCUCAGCCAAUAAUCACUGAGCUUGACCUGCAGAAAGUCCUUUUGGAAAGAAACAGGCAGGUAGCAGACUGUAGGCAGAUAACCAUUUAAAGAUAUUUUUAGUAAUUGACUCGAUCCAGUGGAGAUCGAAUGUUAAAAUUAAAUGCAGUGUUUGCUGUUGGGCAUUUAAGGAUUUAAUAAUUAAUUUAACAGAAUACUUGUAUUAUUUGAUCCAAUAGGAUCUCUUAGUGUCAAAACUUCCUAAUGGUUCAGUGGCCUAUCUAGGACGGUAUAAAAAUACAUAUAAUAUGUGUCUAAAUUCUGAGUUGCUUAAGAGACUAUAGUUGUUCAAUUCCAAUGUUAUGUAACAUAAUAUUCUGUCUAAAAUUGGGUAAUUAUAUAAUUGCCUAGGGACUUUGAGUACUGGCCUACUUGAGAGCUAUUAAUAUUUCUUAUAUGAAAAAUAAUUUGUUUUAUUAAUGGAAAGCCCUCAGUGCUAUAAAUUUGUGUAUAUGAUUCCAGCUUUUUUUCCUGAUACACGAAACGUUUUUAUUUGAAUAUAUUGAUACUUUUCAGUCUCAUGUCUCGUGCUAUGCCACUAUCUUUUAUUAAAAAACUACGCUUUUCUAAUCUGUGUUAGAUUUUGCGAGGUUGAACAUGUGAUGUAUUUGAACUUGUGAAAUUUGACUGCUUAGGACAAAAGGUUGAAAUGGCACCAAAAGGUUGUUACUGGUUUUAGAAUCACAAAUAUAUGCAGUGCUAAUAAUUUGUAUUGGAUAAGUAAAGGAUGCAGUUUGCAAAAACCUUUCACUGCUGUUCUCAUUUCUGCCAUUGUUUUACAUGAUGGCAGAGUCGAAGGGUGCUGAAUGCUGUUGAAAUUUGCAUUGGAGACUGUGGCACCAUCAGUGUUAGGACCUGUCUGUGUUGUAAUUGUGUCUAGUUUAAUCAAUUAACAUAUUCUUUCUGUGGUCAAAUCCUGCAAACAGGUUUGUAUUUAUGUGUAUGUAAACACAGAUUGCAGGACCACUGACAUGUUUAUUAUGAUAAAAAUAGGCUAUAGUCAUUUACUCUGGUCUGAAAAUUCUUUAGGUAAUUAAAUCUGUUCUUUCAAGUUGGUAUGAAGUGGUAAGGAUAUUGUUUAAGCAGAAUCUGUUUAAUGUAGGCUCAUGUGUUCAUAAAUUGAAAAAUGAGAGAAAGGAGUUGCUGUUUAACAAGUAUUCAUGCAUUUAUUAUUUAGGUUAUGCCUGUUAAAAGGAAAGAUAAAGCAUCUUUAAAAAAAAAAAUUCGAAAGCCUUUCUACUUCCAGAAUAUAUUCAUUCAUAUUGCAAAGAACUUAAUUAUUCACUGGUUGGCAUAAGAAAUUAGUUGUGUAUUCUCUCUUCACUUUUAAGUUUCUAAAGAGGAGCAGGUUGGAUGAUAUGCUUUUUUUUCAAAGCAAACUUUUAAAAUAAUAUUAUUUCAGUGGAAGCCCGGAACAAACUAGACUGACACCUUCUGCUCUGAGAUGAGCGCUAAGUGAUAUCAUCUUCUAAAAAUGCAGCCACAGAAUGUAGGUGGUAAGCAGUAGCUGUUGUUUAAGCCUUUGGUUAGAAAACUUAGAAAUACAGAACUGGAGCAGCUUUGUUGACAUGAUGAAUUUCACAAAUAGUCAUGCUGCCUUAGUGCUUGAUAUGUGGUCAUCUGGAAUAUGUGCAUUUAUUCUAAAUACGUAUCUCAUUGUCUAAAGCUGAAUAGCGUGUCAGAGCUUAAUUUCCAUCAUAGCCUGUAGCUGACAGAACAGUAACCAGAAACCUUAAGAUCCUUUCUCCUUUUUCUUUUUCCAAAUGUGCAUGCUGAAUUAUUUGUCUCUGGCAUGGUCUUGCUCCAGCUGUCUUCAGAAGAUUAUUAACUAGUUAUUUUUGUAAGUGAUAGGCUCCUUGAUGACUUGAUUGACUUUCUAUAGGAAGAAAUUAUGGUAAACAUGAAGAACAGCUUUUUGAAGUGGACUAUGCUUGAUUUUUCAGGAUUUACAGUAUUAAAUUACACUAGUAAAUAAAAUUACAGAUCAAUAACAUUGAAGAAGCAACAAUAUUAGCAUUUUAAUAGCUGCUUAGUGUUGUCAGCAGCAGGUGAUAUAUUUCAAAUAAUAAUGUAUUUUAGUAGAUAACAUUGAAAUUAUUUUUUAGAUCAAGCUGGGUUUUUUUUUGUCCUGAUGAAAGCUUUCAUGUGCCGUAUUAUUGCUUUGUCUGUAGGUAUUAAUGGGCUGCAGUGAAAUGGAAGAGAAUAAUUUCUUAAAGAUUUUUAGUAACGGAGGAAAUGAUACAAGCAAAUCUCUGUGACUUAGAACAAGAUAUCCGAAAGUAUUUUUGCAAUAUUGCUGCUAUUACUUUAAAAGGAGCUAGGGAAAAAAAUACUGAAUAUAGAAAUUGGCUUGUAAUUCAUAAGUUCCAAUGAUAAAUUGUGCUACUGUAAAAUGGUAUUGUGUUGUCCUUUAUUAUUGUGAAGCAUGAGGAAUAUAGAAUUUUUCUAGUCAAAAUUAUGGCAGGAAUUUUAAGGCUUUUUUUGGUGGGGCAAGUCUUGAAGACUUUCUGGUAUGUAGGUCCCAGAGGCCCUACGUUUGUUAGAUACUGCUUGUCUCAGGCUUUUGAUUCUGUAUCAGCCAUACCUCUCUCUUGGCUAUAGUAAGAUGGUGUCUGAAAAUCUGGGUGAUAAGAAGCCAGAUUGCUAGCAUACUGAGGAAAAUGGGGGUAAAUAGAAACUGAUUGUGGGUUUUCUAACAUUUUGCAUUGCUCAGUGUAAAGAUGGAAACUAUGUAAAGGCCUUUAUUAGCUGAGACUGGAUAUCCAGUGAAGUGUCCCUUUCUUCCUGCUUUAUAUUAGCAGGUAAGAGAGUUUAACAUCCUUUCAGCUAGUCUGACCUCCUGUGAAGUAUUCAUGCUAGAGAAAAACAUUGUCUCUUGUAAAAAUGUAUAAAAUGUAAUCUCUCUCUUCAUUUGAUAGUAAUCCCUUUCUUAAAAGUGCACGUCUGUCUUGUGAUUAGAAUUUGGCUUCACCUUCCACUUACAAGAAAAGGGAAGGGGAUUGCUCUGCAAAAGAGGUCAGUAGUACCUUGUUUUUUCUUGCUGGGAAUGCAUUUAAAACUAUAAAACUACUCCCUGUUUUUUGAUGAAAUGCAUGGAUUGAUGUCCUAAAAUCUUGUGUUACGCCUGUCUUCCUUAGUCCCCUCACACAAAUUUGUAAUCUUCUAAGGAGAUAAAGCCCUGUUACGGGUUUUUUCAGUGAUCUAUAUAGAGGUAAAAUCCCCUCUUCUUUCUUUGUGCACUGUGGAUUGUGCUUCCAAGAUACUUGUCACAUUUUGUCACAGUGUUAAGUUGGGAUAUCAUGCUUAUUUCCUUGUCUUUUAUGACCCUGAUACCUUUUUUAGAGUCUGUUGUUUUCUGCUGUUUUACCAGUUUCAAGGUAUAACUUUUUAUUCUUUUCCCAGAUGUACAACCUGAGAUUUGGAUAUUAGAAAAAAAAAAAAAAUUGGAACAAUUUGCUUUGUCAGCUGUUCCAUAACUCUUAUAUUAUGUCCCAGUUGUUUUGUUUACCAUAGUGGUAGCUUUUGUGUUGUCCUCAAAUAUAAUCAGCAAUGAGUUUGUGUAUCUUUGAGGAACAUGUUGAAUAGUGUUAAACCUGGUAAUGGUCCUAGGGUAGCUCUCUACUCAAAUGCAACUCCCCUCUGACAAUGAGUUUUUGAGGUUUGUUACUUAGGUUUUCUUAAUCAAAGAAAUUGUAAUCUUAAAAAAAAAAAAAAGUAAAUUAAAAACCUUCCUGCGCUAUACAUUCCUACCCUACUGGCUUUCCUCUUAUUUUGCUCUUGCCAAUUCAGGCUGCACUGACAAUAAGUAACAGGGUGGUUCUCCUUGUCCACUUCCAACUUUUAACACAGGUGCCCUUCUGGUCUGUUGAGUUUUAGUGUUGUUUCGAUUUACUGAUGCUAAGUGAACAUCAGUAGUAAAUGCCAUUCUUCCAGAAUCCUUGGUGGGGAGUUGUCCAAGCCUUCUGUUUUUAAAAGGUUGUAUUUCAAUUGAUGAUGAUUAAAACUGUGAUCAGCUACAAAUAAA